UUCCUGCAAUUGCCAUUGGUCGACUGAGUGGUCACGAGGUCAAUAUAUAAGGAUCGACUAGGAGCAGUUCUGAUCUUUUCGUCGCCAUUUUAAGUGGUUGUAGGUUUUCAAUAUUUUAUAUUUGUAACGAUAAACAGUACAGUCAUCGUUUGUUUUUCGGGAAGAGCUAUCCUUUAGAGAAUAUAAUGACUAUGACGGCGGCCACAAGCAAUUACAGUAUGGAUGAAUUCCCGGAAGGAGCAAAAAUAAAUGCCAGUAAAAAUCAGCAGGACGACGGGAAAAUGUUUAUUGGAGGUCUGAGCUGGGAUACGAGCAAAAACGACUUGUCCGAGUACCUGUCUAAGUUUGGUGAGGUGGUGGAUUGUACUAUUAAGACAGACCCGGUUACUGGACGAUCACGGGGCUUUGGUUUUGUUCUGUUUAAAGAUUCCGCAAGUGUUGAUCGGGUGCUGGAGCUAAGGGAGCACAAACUCGAUGGAAAACUUAUCGAUCCCAAACGAGCCAAAGCAUUGAAAGCUAAAGAGCCUCCGAAGAAAGUUUUUGUUGGGGGCUUGAGUCCCGAUACGUCAGAGGAACAGAUUAAAGAGUACUUCGGAGCUUUUGGCGAGAUUGAGAAUAUAGAACUCCCAAUGGAUACCAAAACAAAUGAAAGGAGAGGAUUCUGUUUCAUUACCUAUACUGAUGAGGCACCAGUGCAGAAGUUAUUAGAAAAUCGGUAUCACCAAAUCGGCUCAGGAAAGUGUGAAAUUAAAGUUGCACAACCCAAGGAAGUGUAUAGACAACAGCAGCAGCAACAAAGAGGGGGACGAGGAGGUACAACUGGAUUUGGAAGUGGGCGAGGUGGCUCACGGGGGCGUGGCAGAGGGCAGAGCCAGACCCAGACUCCAACUCAGACUCCGACCCAGACUCCAACCCAGGCCCAGACAUGGGGACAGAGUUACACAAAUUAUUAUGACCCAAGUUAUGGAACCUACAAUGGAUACACUGCUAGUCAGGGGUACACUGGAUAUACAGGCUAUGAUUACUCUGGAUACAACUAUGGCACGUAUGGAUAUGGACAAACCUAUGGAGAUUAUAAUAGUCAGCAGAGUGCGUAUGGGAAGGCAGCUAGAGGUGGUGCCAACCAUCAAAAUAAUUAUCAGCCAUAUUAAAGCAAUAAUUGUGUAGCUCCUACAACAAGCGGGAACUUCAUUGCAGGCCGUGUGUCACCCUGACCUCAUCUCUCUCUGGGGGUCGCACAUUGCGAGCAGAAUGCAAGGCAUACACCAGAAACCGCUGUCCCUGUGGUGGACAAGCUGAGUGGUGUUCUAAUCUGCUGACUUGUGGCCACAAAGUGAAGGACUUCACAACUUACUUUUGGAAUGAUUAUUUUUAUUUUUUUAAUGUCUUGCGUGAAUCUGAUGCACGCUGUCUUGGUUGUACAUAGCAAAUUAGUUUGCCAUUUUAAUCUUAAGUUGUUUUUUUUACCUUCAAUGUCUUUGUGGGUGGUGCCACACAGUGGAGUACCCUAUUCUGUAUUGCCAGUGUAUUUAGUGUUUUGGAAAUAAACAUGUGCAGGACUUGUUCUGUUAAAUCUAA
RNA transcript from Protopterus annectens (West African lungfish), 1578 nucleotides. It is a transcript of the gene named heterogeneous nuclear ribonucleoprotein D like, with no coding region annotated. The transcript has 9 exons. Lineage: Eukaryota; Metazoa; Chordata; Ceratodontiformes; Protopteridae. The record is from RefSeq and is a predicted model, not a curated record.